RNAcentral lists this ribosomal RNA (449 nucleotides) under uncultured Sphingobacteriales bacterium. RNAcentral describes it as "bacterial SSU rRNA". It matches the Rfam family "Bacterial small subunit ribosomal RNA", at positions 928 to 1382 of the family's 1533-position model. The record is from RNAcentral. Lineage: Bacteria; Pseudomonadati; Bacteroidota; Sphingobacteriia; Sphingobacteriales.
AGCGGAGCAUGUGGCUUAAUUCGACGCAACGCGAAGAACCUUACCAAGGACUUGAAAUGCAAGUGAAGCGGUGGAAACGCCGUGGCCGAAAGGAGCUUGCACAGGUGGUGCAUGGCUGUCGUCAGCUCGUGCCGUGAGGUGUCGGGUUAAGUCCCAUAACGAGCGCAACCCUUACCGUUAGUUACCAUCAGGUUAAGCUGGGGACUCUAGCGGGACUGCCACCGUAAGGUGAGAGGAAGGUGGGGAUGACGUCAAAUCAGCACGGCCCUUAUGUCCAGGGCUACACACGUGUUACAAUGGCCGGUACAAAGGGCAGCUACUUCGCGAGAAGAUGCUAAUCUCGAAAGCCGGUCUCAGUUCGGAUCGAAGUCUGCAACCCGACUUCGUGAAGCUGGAUUCGCUAGUAAUCGCGCAUCAGCCAUGGCGCGGUGAAUACGUUCCCGGGCCUU